UUUCCGUAGGUGAACCUGCGGAAGGAUCAUUAUCGAGGGGCUUCGGCCCCGUGAGAUAGCACCCUUGCCCUUACGAGCACCGUACGUUUCCUCGGCGGUCGUCGGCCGCCAAUGGACCACCAAACGCCUUGCAAUGAGCAGUGACCGUCUGAUAUACCCCAAAUUUAUUACAACUUUCAACGAUGGAUCUCUUGGCUCUG
This 200-nucleotide unclassified non-coding RNA is filed under the name soil metagenome. RNAcentral describes it as "partial contains small subunit ribosomal RNA, internal transcribed spacer 1, and 5.8S ribosomal RNA". The record is from RNAcentral.